CUUGCUUCAAGGUGGCUCCUAGGCAGCUGGGCGGCUUGGGUUCUUGGAGAGGAAGGGGAGGAGAGCUGGUAGCAAGCCUGAAUGGUCCCCUUUGCUAAGCAGGAUCCAUCCUGGUUUACAUGGGAAGGGGAGACUACAUCAUGUGAGCCCUCUUCCAGGGUGUGUGGCGCCAUGGAUACAAAGAGCCAAGCUGACCAAGGAAAGAAGCUACUAGCCAGAGCAGCCAGGGACUGUGGGAGCGACGGAGGAACAGCAGCAUCCCGCUGAGAAUGCAAAGCAUUGACGAGCUUCCUGUAUUCCUCGGUAACCGCUGGAAAAGUUAUAUCUGGGAAAUAGCUACAGCGAGAAAGAAGGUAAGCAGCUUCUUCUUCUUCUUCUUCUUCUUCUUCUUCUUCUUCUUCUUCUUCUUCUUCUUCUCCUCCUCCUCCUCCUCCUCCUCCUCCUCCUCCUCCUCCUCCUCCUCUUCCUCUUCCUCUUCCUCUUCCUCUUCCUCCUCCUCCUCCUCCUCCAUAAGCUUAUAUACAGCCUUGGGUUUAUUCCCUCUUUUUGACAGUUAAAGCACCACAUUUUCAUUGAUGCCAGGAGAUGUUGAACAGUAGGGCACACAUCUUGGGGUGCCUCUGUUAUGGCACAAGAGAUAUUCCCAGACUGAUUGGGCAAGGUUCGGACCACAAUGUGUGUCUGGACACUUAAAUUUGCAUUCUGAUUGGGCAAGACCUCUAGGGUUUUUAAAUUCUGUCCUGACUGAAUUGGGCAAGACCUCUAGGGUUUUUAAAUUGUAUAUGGAAUUGGGCAAGAUCAAGGCCUGUGUGGGCCUCGAUUUUUAAAUUGCAUCCCCCAGCUUGACAUUGACAUUUGUAUUCUGAUUGGACAAGACCUCUAGGGUUUUUAAAUUCUGUAAGGAAUUGGGCAAGAUCAGGGCCUGUGUGGGCCUCGAUUUUUAAAUUGCAUCCCCCAGCUUGACUGAGCACACAAUCUCUAGGUUCCCUUAGAGUGAAUUGGGCAUGAUACCAUUUUUUUAAAAAAAAUACCAUUGUCUGGGCAGCUUUAGGCCAGUGGACUGGAGUCCCAUGAGCUUGGAAUCUCCAAUGGCUCAACUGGGCAAGACGAUUGGUGUCUUUAAAUUCUGUCAGGGCCUUGUGGACAUAUUUUUUUAGCCAGGGGUGUAGUGUUAAAUUUGGAUCGACUGACCACCCACUUUGAUUCAUGCUCUUGAUCAAGACUGAAUCAAAUGCAUCACGUUGCGUGUUUUAUAUGCGCUGUGUCCCAAGUGUUUGGUGACCCAUGAAGAGAUGACUUCUUGUUUAGUGCACUCAUGGCCAUCUCGGAUCCUUAUUCCUUACUCAAGGAAAAAAGCAUUGAUUUUGAAUGCUGGGCUCAAGGUUUUGAUGUUUUUCAUGUCUAUUGAUAAAAUGGUAGAAAUCAUUUCACAUGCAAAUGUUUAAAUUGAUUAUGUCAUGCAAGGGUUUUGAGAACUGUCUUGACUAAAGAAAUAGUCUGAUUGCCUUGUCAGCAAGAAAGGUUCUUGCAGCCUAGGUGCAAAUCCUGCUAUC
Long non-coding RNA from Hemicordylus capensis (graceful crag lizard), 1553 nucleotides. RefSeq lists it as uncharacterized. NCBI's taxonomy places the organism in Eukaryota, Metazoa, Chordata, Lepidosauria, Squamata, Cordylidae. The transcript is spliced from 3 exons. The record is from RefSeq and is a predicted model, not a curated record.